Long non-coding RNA from Nerophis ophidion (straightnose pipefish), 3741 nucleotides. RefSeq lists it as uncharacterized. The transcript is spliced from 3 exons. NCBI's taxonomy places the organism in Eukaryota, Metazoa, Chordata, Actinopteri, Syngnathiformes, Syngnathidae. The record is from RefSeq and is a predicted model, not a curated record.
UUUCGGAGUCAUUCUUCUAAACCAGGGGUAGGGAACCUAUGGCUCUAGAGUCAGAUGUGGCUCUUUUGAUGACUGCAUCUGGCUCUCAGAUAAAUCUUAGCUGACAUUGCUUAACGCGAUAAUUAUGAAUAAUUUCGCUGGUAAUCACAGUACUAAAAAUAAUGUGCACAAUACAAAACAUUUUCAUGCAUUUAAAUCCAUCCAUCCGUUUUCUACCGCACCUGUUCAAGAAGUCGCAUUAAUGGUAAGAAGUAUUGUAUGUCACGAUGGGGGGGGGUCGCAGCUUGCUGCAGGGUCGUUCCCCCAGGAAGGCAGACGGACAUGAUCAACAGACAUGACAUUUUAUUUAUUAUUGGUUAGCUUCAGAAUAACAAUAUUAUCAAAAAGAAUAAGAGACUUAUUAUACUCUAAAAAUGUUGGUCUUACUUAAAAAUGCACGCAUUUAGUUGUAUUCAGUGUUAAAAAAUAUGAUAUGGCUCUCACGGAAAUAUGUUUUGAAAUAAUUGGCUUUCAUGACUCUCUCAGCCAAAAAACUUCCCGACCCCUGUUCUAAAGGGUAGUAAUUAAGGCAUACACGAAGCAGGUAUGUUGCUUAACUUUACUCACAUUUUUAUUAAGUCAUGAUUUUAGUGUAAUUUUAUUCAUACUUUUUAUAUCUUUUAAUGCAUUUUAGUUUUACUUUGUGUAUUUAAAAAAAAUUUUUUAUUUAAUGCUACACUUUUUUUCAAACUAAUGUCAAAGCAUAGAAAUAUGCCACCUCCUUAUGGAAUAUUUACAAAUAAAACAAAAACACAAUUAUAGCCAAUAUUUGAGUAAUUCCCACCAGUAAUAUUUCUGGUAAUUAAUACAGUUUAUUAUGUUAAUUAAAUACUGAUCUAAAUAUUAUCAAAUAAUUGAUUUCCCAGCAGGCACAAGACAUUGAUACAACAUUGAUUAUACUUACAUGUCCUUUAAAACAAACAUACUUCUAAACAACGUUGCAAAAACGCACUUGUAACUUGAGACAACGUUGAUUGUCUUAAGUUGGAUCCGCAAAUAAUCAAAUAAUCGUCUCAACCUGACAUUGAUUAAACGCCGUUAACAAUCAUGUUGUUUUAACAUAUUUAUGUUGUAGAAUAUUCGUUGAAAAAUGACCAAAACUCAAUGGUCAAAUCAACGUCAGAACCCGACGUUUGUCAAAAAGCAUGUUGUUCCAACGUUAAGUUUGGAGUUACUCAACAAGUUGUCAACGUUGUUUCAAUGUCUUGUGAUUCUCUAAGAAAACAAAAACUAUACAGUAAUAACGAGAGUCUUUUGAAAGGAUUUUUGAAAGGAAUGGCUCCCUUCAAAGAGCCGUAGAGCCAACCUGCAUCACGAGUUUAACCUCAUGAAUUAUUGUGCCUCCGAGGUGUUUUCCAACUAACCACACCACUUCAACUUAGAGACAGCAUAAGUCCAUUCCAGAAAUAGGUUAGCGUUUUUCAUACCUACACUUUUAUCGUUCUUUGGGUCAUAUCACUCGGUCAAGGCCUUUUUCAACAUUAAACACUACAACAUAUUAACAAUGUAUGAUUCCUGCUGAUCAAUAUCAGCCAAUACUUAAGACUCCAAUGUCAUAGCGAAAGUGGAAAGGUUGUAUUGCUUCCACACAUUCGCUCUCUAACGUUACACUGUUUAGCGACACAUUCAGUGGUGUUAUCCGUAAUGUUACACGAUCAAAGUCCGUAGAGUUCCACCCUAACCGGGAAAGUUCACUAAUAGUGACUAAAUGGAGGAAGGAAAUAAACCAAUGUGAGGAAAAAUAAUACUUUUUUUUACUCACCGGCCUUGUCUCCGAGAAAUGAUGCCAUUUUAUCCAUCUUGAGCGUCUUUGUGUGUGUGCUUGUUUGCGUUCCGACAGGUGAGGUUCUUUAUCCACAGCUCACAGACCAGAGAGUGGGCGUGUCUAUCUCGUCAGGGUCAACCUGUUCCACCUGCUGGGACGGCUGGACCAUUGUCCACUUUGUCUCCAUCGUUAUGCCUGGGCUCGACAAUGUCAAACACCGGCGACCUUAAACUUGAGAGACGGCGUGCCCUAACAGUGUCUGUCAUGCAGUCCCUUUGGAGACCAUUGUGUCGACACCGGCACAUAUCCUGGAAGACAAAGCUCAGGGUCGCCGUUCUCCUGUACGGCCCCGACACAUGACCGCUGAAUACCACACUGGCGGCCAGGUUUGAUGGUUUUGAUACCACUGGCCCUUAAGGGAAUUGAAGGCAUCACAUGGAGCCUGCACCUCACAAACCGAACUUUAAGACUUUAAGAGACUAAACCCAACUCCCAGCAAGGGUUUGUUGGCAUGGUCACAUCAUUCAACGAGUACCAUCGUAACUUUCAAUCCCCAGCAAGCCAGUUGGAGACGACCCAGAGGUGCCUCCCGCCCCGCUGGCUGGAUGAAAUAGCCUUUAAAGGCCUACUGAAACCCACUACUACCCACCACGCAGUCUGAUAGUUUAUAUAUCAAUGAUGAAAUAUUAACAUUGCAACACAUGCCAAUACGGCCUUUUUAGUUUACUAAAUUGCAAUUUUAAAUUUCCCGGGACUAUUUUCUUGAAAACGUCGCGUAAUGAUGACGUGUACGCGUGACGUCACGGGCUGUUAUGAAUAUGAGCGCUGCGUACACACACAGCUAAAAGUCGUCUGCUUUAACGGCAUAAUUACACAGUAUUUUGGAGAUCUGUGUUGCUGAAUCUUUUGCAAUUUGUUCAAUUAAUAUUGGAGAAGUCAAAGUAUAAAGACGGAGUUGGGACGCUUUAGCCUUUAGCCACACAAACACACGGUGAUUACUUGUUUAAAAUUCACGGAGGUGAAACUUUAGUAUGGAUCACAGCGGUCAUGGAUCCCGACCGACUACAUGUCAACCAGCAGGUUUCGGUGAGAAAAUUGUGGUUAAAAAGUCGCCUCUUACCGGAUAUCAGCUGAGCUUGUGCCGUCCAUACAGCUGCCGUCGACUUCCCCAAGACACUGCGCGUCAACACCCGGCCGUGGACGUACACUUCCGACUAUCAGGUACAGUUAAACUCACUAAAACUCUAGCAACACAAUAGGAAGAUAAGGGAUUUCCCAGAAUUAUCCAAGUAAAUGUCUCUAAAAACAUAUGAAUCCGUCUCAAUGCAACGCGAUUGCAAUCGCGUUUUGUUUUGUUUUUACUUUUUUUGUUUGUUUUUUUCUAAUCCGUCGCUAUCAAUAUCCUCGAACACAAAUCUUUCAUCCUCUCUCAAAUUAAUGGGGAAAUUGUCGUUUUCUCGGUCUGAGUAGCUGUUUUUGUUGGAGGCUCCCAUUAAAAUCAAUGUGAAUAUAUGAGGAGCCCUCAAAAUGUGAUGUCAUCGUCUGCGACUUCCGGUAGAGGCAGGGCUUUUCUCCAGUUGCGAACUUUAUCGUGGAUGUUCUCUACUAAAUCCUUUCAGCAAAAAUAUAGCAAUAUCGCGAAAUUACCAAGUAUGACACAUAGAAUGGACCUGCUAUCCCCGUUUAAAUAACAAAAUCUCAUUUUAGUAGGCCUUUAACGUGACUCUGGCACAAGCUCAACUCUUUGCCCACAAUAGACCCAAAUGGAGAGACCUGGUUGCCUCUACACGCCUUGAAGUGUAAUAGGACUGAAGAAAAGAAAGAAGGAGAGAGCAGUUGGUGUUUUCUAACGGCAGCCAAUAGGAACCCGGCUGACCUCCGAUGUUGGCGAUGGACUCGGGUCCCACGAUCAGGUCCUCAAAUUGUCUCUGAGCGUG